Molecule: transfer RNA, 69 nt
Filed under: Marmota marmota marmota (Alpine marmot)
Lineage: Eukaryota; Metazoa; Chordata; Mammalia; Rodentia; Sciuridae
Also listed under: 1 other name
Rfam family: tRNA
About the family: Transfer RNA (tRNA) molecules are approximately 80 nucleotides in length. Their secondary structure includes four short double-helical elements and three loops (D, anti-codon, and T loops).
Source: Rfam by way of RNAcentral
GGAGUUGUGGCUCAGUGGCAGAGUGCUCACCUAGCAUGUGUGAGGCACUGGGUUCGAUUCUCGGCACCA